Molecule: long non-coding RNA, 1361 nt
Organism: Python bivittatus (Burmese python)
Lineage: Eukaryota; Metazoa; Chordata; Lepidosauria; Squamata; Pythonidae
Source: RefSeq, a predicted model, not a curated record
AAAGCAUCUCUUCUGUGUUCCUGUCCCUCCAUCUGAUCCUCACAGCAGUUGAGGAGAAUCUGAGAGAAUCUGAGAGGCGUUGAGUGGUUGAAAAUUGCCUGAUCUCCAUCAGCAUUUGAACCUGAGUCUCCCCAGUUUUAGACUAACUAAAGUGACAGAUUGAAGAUCAGAAGGCAAAGAGGCACCAAAAAGCCAUUGGGGAUGGAUAAGAAAAAAAGUUAUAUAGUUUUUGUUGACAGAUCUUCUGUCCACCCACUACUAACAUCUUCAAAAAACAAUACAGUCCCAAUUGAGAUCUGAUUUCUAGACAGGAAGUAUAAACAAUGACUUGAAAGGCUGGUGGACCUGCUUUGGAAUCAGCUGCUGGCCACCUCGAAACAAAGCGACACUAUGUGCACCUACGUGGAGCAGCCAGAGGAGACAAGAAAAAUACACGACUGCUUUAAUGAUGUGAAAAGAGGUGCUUCAUGUGGGCUGCUCUGCUUUCCAAGCAUUUGUUUCAAAGGACUUGCACAGUCCAAAAUAAUCAUAUUAACUGUACCUGUUUAAUUUAAUUUGGGUUAAAUAUAAAUGAAAAUUAAAUCACAUCUGAAAUUUAAUAUGGACCGAAAUCCUUAUACCAUCUGCGUGGUAUAACAAUGGUAUGCAACUAACAUAACCGACGUGCCACUUUCACAAAAUUUUCUGAAGAUUUUUUAAAAUUGUGAAACCAAUGAUUGCUUGAAGCCUUGUACAGUAUACAGAGUUAGAAAACAUGUGACUAAAUAAUUAAAAGAAGGGGAAGAGGGAAUCAUGACCUACAAGCUGAACUGAGCUGUACUGGGAAAUUAGGUUUGCAAACUAUGUUUCUUCAAAUUGCUUUAAAACUGUACUUUAACCUGAUAGAGCUUGCAAGCCAGAAGUGGGCAGCUAGGGCUUUCCAUCUAAUUUCAGGGGACCAUCAGCUUAAUUUCAGAAGCCAUCUGCAGAUUAUUAAUUUAGAUUUCUGGUAAGAGCUAUCCUGUCCAUGCCAUUCAAGCUCAGGGGUUUGCUUUCAGUAUCAGAUUAUUUCCAAAGAAUACAAUUCUCAAGGGAAGAAAGCUUAUGUAUCCUUGCUGUGAGGCAUGGUGGACUCAAAUGCUGGAUUUUGAGCAGGGAACUUUUCAUGGUGUUUCCCUGCUCACUGGAGGGAUUUUGCCCACGUUUUCUGCCCCAUAAAGUACCUGUAGUCAAUAUUUACCAACACUUACUCCCUUCUUCUACCAUAGGGUAAGGCAGGAAGCGGCUUCUAUCAUGGGGUGGUGGUGGUGGUGGUGGAAAGUAAUACAACCAAGCAGUAAUUCCCACACAAUAUUUAGCUACACAAAUUAGCAAAGCAAACA